CGGGGGGGCGAGCGUUGUUCGGAAUUACUGGGCGUAAAGGGCGCGUAGGCGGUCUGUUAAGUUGGAUGUGAAAACUCUGGGCUUAACCCAGAGCCUGCAUCCAAAACUAGCAGGCUAGAGUUCUGGAGGGGAUAGCGGAAUUCCUGGUGUAGCGGUGAAAUGCGUAGAUAUCAGGAGGAACACCGGUGGCGAAGGCGGCUAUCUGGACAGAAACUGACGCUGAGGCGCGAAAGCUAGGGGAGCAAACAGGAUUAGAUACCCUGGUAGUCCUAGCCCUAAACGAUGGAUACUUGGUGUAGCUGGGAUUGAAUCCAGCUGUGCCGAAGCUAACGCAUUAAGUAUCCCGCCUGGGGAGUACGGUCGCAAGGCUG
This 371-nucleotide ribosomal RNA is filed under the name uncultured organism. RNAcentral describes it as "bacterial SSU rRNA". It matches the Rfam family "Bacterial small subunit ribosomal RNA", at positions 527 to 896 of the family's 1533-position model. The record is from RNAcentral.